RNAcentral lists this transfer RNA (550 nucleotides) under Halotia wernerae CENA158. RNAcentral describes it as "16S-23S ribosomal RNA intergenic spacer". The stretch from base 287 to 359 matches the Rfam family "tRNA". Lineage: Bacteria; Bacillati; Cyanobacteriota; Cyanophyceae; Nostocales; Nodulariaceae. The record is from RNAcentral.
CAUUUUUAGGGAGACCUACACCCCUCAAAUCUUGAAAGCAAAAUGCAAAUAAAGAUUGAGUUGGUCUAACCUAGGUCGGUCGCUUCUACUUGAAUUGUUGAGUGCUUUCAAACUAUGAUUUGGUUCGUAUUGGGGCUAUUAGCUCAGGUGGUUAGAGCGCACCCCUGAUAAGGGUGAGGUCCCUGGUUCGAGUCCAGGAUGGCCCACCUAAAACAAGUCAAAAAUCAAAAGUCAAAAGUCAAAAGUAAAGAGUUGAUUUUUGAAGAUUGAAGAUUGAAUUGUAUCUGGGGGUUUAGCUCAGUUGGUAGAGCGCCUGCUUUGCAAGCAGGAUGUCAGCGGUUCGAGUCCGCUAAUCUCCACCUGUGGUGUAAUGCCAAAAACAGAAGUGAGAAAUCAGCAACAUGACAUUUAUGUAUUGCAUUUAGAUGUCAGACUGCUGAGAUGAUCUCAGCCAGAACCUUGAAAACUGCAUAGUAACGCGAAAUUAGCAGGCAGACGCAGACAUUCUUUAGAAUGAUUGUGUUUGCAUGGUGAAACACCAAAUGUAUUG